UACAGGGGGUGCGAGCGUUAAUCGGAAUUACUGGGCGUAAAGCGCACGUAGUCGGCUUUGCAAGUCGGUUGUGAAAUCCCCGGGCUCAACCUGGGAACUGCAUCCGAGACUGCAUUGCUAGAGUAUGGGAGAGGGAAGCGGAAUUUCUGGUGUAGCAGUGAAAUGCGUAGAUAUCAGAAGGAACAUCAGUGGCGAAGGCGGCUUCCUGGACCAAUACUGACGAUCAGGUGCGAAAGCGUGGGGAGCAAACAGG
Molecule: ribosomal RNA, 253 nt
Filed under: uncultured bacterium
Lineage: Bacteria
Description: partial 16S ribosomal RNA
Rfam family: Bacterial small subunit ribosomal RNA
Source: RNAcentral